GAUGAAGAACGUAGCGAAAUACGAUAAGUAAUGUGAAUUGCAGAAUUCAGUGAAUCAUCGAGUCUUUGAACGCACAUUGCGCCCCCUGGUAUUCCGGGGGGCAUGCCUGUCCGAGCGUCAUUGCCGCCCUCAAGCACGGCUUGUGUGUUGGGCCCCCGCCCCCCGGCUUCGGGGGGCGGGCCCGAAAGGCAGCGGCGGCACCGCGUCCGGUCCUCGAGCGUAUGGGGCUUCGUCACCCGCUCUGUAGGCCCGGCCGGCGCCCGCCGGCGACCCCAAUCAAUCUUUCCAGGUUGCCCUCGGAUCAGGUAGGGAUACCCGCUGAACUUAAGCAUCUCAAUAAGCGGAGGA
RNAcentral lists this unclassified non-coding RNA (348 nucleotides) under soil metagenome. RNAcentral describes it as "partial contains 5.8S ribosomal RNA, internal transcribed spacer 2, and large subunit ribosomal RNA". The stretch from base 1 to 120 matches the Rfam family "5.8S ribosomal RNA", at positions 35 to 154 of the family's 154-position model. The record is from RNAcentral.